AAAAUAGAAUAACUAUUUUCAUGUUUCCAAGUUUCCAUAUUUUUGAUAUCUGUUACUAUUACAAAAAGAAGGUGCAGAUUUCUAUACAUUUUUUUAUUAUCUUGACAAAUGGUUGUGUGGAGAAUCUAUUCCCAAAUAAAAGAAUUAAAGGGGAGUGAGGGAGUCCCCUCCUGUAUUUGCCCUAGAAAUCAGUAAUUUAUCUGACACAAAUCUAUCCUACCCACACAGGAAAAUUAAACUAACAAAAGUAUUAAAUGAAAUAACAACUAAGGGUAGUUCUAGAAUUCAUUUUAAAAGUGAGGUAGAGGGGUAAAAUGGCUACAAAU
This 326-nucleotide long non-coding RNA is filed under the name Mytilus galloprovincialis (Mediterranean mussel). Lineage: Eukaryota; Metazoa; Mollusca; Bivalvia; Mytilida; Mytilidae. The record is from RNAcentral.